This 459-nucleotide ribosomal RNA is filed under the name uncultured bacterium. Its description in RNAcentral is "partial 16S ribosomal RNA". It matches the Rfam family "Bacterial small subunit ribosomal RNA", at positions 338 to 795 of the family's 1533-position model. The record is from RNAcentral.
CCUACGAGAGGCAGCAGUGAGGAAUAUUGGUCAAUGGCCGGAAGGCUGAACCAGCCAAGCCGCGUGAAGGACGAAGGUGCCAAGCAUUGUAAACUUCUUUUGUCAAGGGACAAAAUCAGGCUCUAGAGCCUGACCGAGGGUACUUGAAGAAAAAGCAUCGGCUAACUCCGUUCCAGCAGCCGCGGUAAUAGGGAGGAUGCGAGCGUUGUCCGGAUUUUUGGGGGUUAAAGGGUGCGUAGGCGGACUGUUAAGUCAGUGGUAAAAGCCCGGGGCUCAACCCCGUCGAGCCGUUGAAACUGGCUGUCUUGAGUGGGCGAGAGGUAUGCGGAAUGCGUGGUGUAGCGGUGAAAUGCGUAGAUAUCACGAAGAACUCCGAUUGCGAAGGCAGCAUACCGGAGCCCGACUGACGCUGAGGCACGAAAGCGUGGGUAUCGAAUAGGAUUAGAUACCCGAGUAGUC